GCUACUGUGGCUCAGCCGGUAGAGCAGCUCNNNNGGUAGAGCAGCUCACUCGUAAUGAGCAGGUCGUCCGUUCGAAUCGGAUCAGUAGCUCCA
RNAcentral lists this transfer RNA (93 nucleotides) under Faecalibacterium sp. CAG:82-related_59_9. RNAcentral's name for it is "tRNA-Thr". It matches the Rfam family "tRNA". From Rfam's summary of the family: Transfer RNA (tRNA) molecules are approximately 80 nucleotides in length. Their secondary structure includes four short double-helical elements and three loops (D, anti-codon, and T loops). Further hydrogen bonds mediate the characteristic L-shaped molecular structure. tRNAs have two regions of fundamental functional importance: the anti-codon, which is responsible for specific mRNA codon recognition, and the 3' end, to which the tRNAs corresponding amino acid is attached (by aminoacyl-tRNA synthetases). tRNAs cope with the degeneracy of the genetic code in two manners: having more than one tRNA (with a specific anti-codon) for a particular amino acid; and 'wobble' base-pairing, i.e. permitting non-standard base-pairing at the 3rd anti-codon position. The record is from RNAcentral. Lineage: Bacteria; Bacillati; Bacillota; Clostridia; Eubacteriales; Oscillospiraceae.